This 611-nucleotide long non-coding RNA is filed under the name Zostera marina. RNAcentral's name for it is "long non-coding RNA (ZMAR_LNC001647)". The record is from RNAcentral. Lineage: Eukaryota; Viridiplantae; Streptophyta; Magnoliopsida; Alismatales; Zosteraceae.
GCCUAUAAGGCCUCACAUUCAUCGGGUUUGCUGCAGCUUCUAGAGUAAUAUUAUGGUAUUGUGUUCUUGCUGGUGGUAGACCUACUGGUUCUGAAAAUACCCCACUGAAUUUAUUUAAUAAUCCCUGCAGUCUUCAGUUGUAUCCCCUUUUUGAUUGCUGAAAUUCUGAAUUUCUUCAUUAGUUUCCUCUAUAUAUUCAAAUCUGCAAAAGAAGGCUCCCACUGAUGUUGUUGCUAAUGAAUUCAGCUCUUUCUUAAAAAUAGUAUGUUCUGAAAGCAAGGAUUCUCCAACCCAUAGUACUCUUUCUCCCUUCCAGUUGAACUCGAUGUUCAUGUCAGUGUAAUUAGACAAAACGGAUCCCACUGUUUUAAACCAGUGGAUCCCCAAAACUAAAUUAGCACCUUCCAUAUUCAGUAUGAACAUAUCAAUAUGCAUUGUCACCCUUCUGUUACCUCAAAUGGACACCACUUCUUGUUGAAACAGAAAAAGAAGGAAUGAGGGUGAUUGGUAAUCUCAGAUAUCUAGCCACCUCCUCCUGAAGGAAAUUAUGAGUGGAUCCAAAGCUAAAAGAACUGAGACUUUAGAGUUAUUGAUGUUGGCUGACAAUUUCA